CUCCACCUCAUCUUCAAGAGCUUGUUUUAAGGGGUGGUCUAGUAGAAUUGCCUAAUUGGCUUCUCUCCAUGGAAAACCUAACCACUCUAGUACUAUGUUGUUCUAAUCUCUUGGAGAAACCAUCUUCAGAUCUUCAGUUUCUUCCCAAAUUAAAACAUCUUAGGCUUUGGGAAGCUUACAGGGCAAGGUCAUUGGUAAAGAGUUUUGUGAGGCAGGUGGAUUUCCGGAGCUAGAAACUUUGAUAAUUGCUUCAAGUGACCUAGUGGAAUGGACUGAGAUUGUGAAUGAGACUUUUCCAAGUUUGAGGCGUCUUCAAUUUUGGAAUCAUUAUAAUUUGAGAUUUCUGCCUGAAGGUUUACAAAACAUUUCUACUAUUCAAGAGUUAUACAUAACUCAUUUGCACGGAGACCUUUCAAGGAGAUUGAGCAGUAAAGAAAAUUACAAGAUCAAGAAAAUUCCAAAACUCUAUUUUUGGGACAUGUCAAGUUCCUGAAGAAGUCACUGAAAUUCUCUAAUGCCCCAUCAAUAAAUGAAGGUAAAAAAAAUGAUCAUUUUGAGAUUUAAGAAAUGCUAGAAUUGGAUUCAGGACGGGGGAAUUGCUAUCAUUUUUUUUUUUUAAAUUAUCAAGUAUUCAAGACGUUAUAAUGCUUGCAAUGAAUGCUAGCUGUUUUUUCUUUUUUUUUUUAA
Molecule: unclassified non-coding RNA, 687 nt
Filed under: Hevea brasiliensis (rubber tree)
Lineage: Eukaryota; Viridiplantae; Streptophyta; Magnoliopsida; Malpighiales; Euphorbiaceae
Source: RNAcentral